GAUGAACGCUGGCGGCGUGCCUAAUACAUGCAAGUCGAGCGAACGGACGAGAAGCUUGCUUCUCUGAUGUUAGCGGCGGACGGGUGAGUAACACGUGGAUAACCUACCUAUAAGACUGGGAUAACUUCGGGAAACCGGAGCUAAUACCGGAUAAUAUUUUGAACCGCAUGGUUCAAAAGUGAAAGACGGUCUUGCUGUCACUUAUAGAUGGAUCCGCGCUGCAUUAGCUAGUUGGUAAGGUAACGGCUUACCAAGGCAACGAUGCAUAUCCGACCUGAGAGGGUGAUCGGCCACAAUGGAACUGAGACACGGUCCAGACUCCUACGGGAGGAAGCAGUAGGGAAUCUUCCGCAAUGGGCGAAAGCCUGACGGAGCAACGCCGCGUGAGUGAUGAAGGUCUUAGGAUCGUAAAACUCUGUUAUUAGGGAAGAACAUAUGUGUAAGUAACUGUGCACAUCUUGACGGUACCUAAUCAGAAAGCCACGGCUAACUACGUG
Molecule: ribosomal RNA, 497 nt
Filed under: uncultured bacterium
Lineage: Bacteria
Description: partial 16S ribosomal RNA
Rfam family: Bacterial small subunit ribosomal RNA
Source: RNAcentral